GUUCUUACAUUUGCGGUCUAUAAUACUCAUCUCCUUCCUUAUGCUACCCCGGUGGACCGCAUCAAUGCUACUGUUGGGUACAUUGGUGCUUCUUACGAUGUUCCAUCAUUAGUUGAAAAGCUUCUGCAGCAGCUUGCGAGCAAACAAACUAUUGUGGUAAAUGUUUAUGAUACAACUAACAAGUUUGCUCCAAUUAAAAUGUAUGGCAUGGAUGAGAACGACACAGGAUUACUUCACGUUAGCAACCUUGAUUUUGGGGAUCCUGCAAGGAGCCACGAGAUGCAUUGCAGGUUCAAGCAGAAACCUUCUCCACCCUGGACUGCAAUAACUCUAUCUGUCGGAGUCCUUGUUAUCACUCUGCUUAUUGGUCAUAUCUUCCAUGCUGCCAUCAACAGAAUUGCUGAAGUUGAGGGUCAGUAUCAGGAAAUGAUGGAGCUCAAACAUCGUGCUGAGGCUGCAGAUAUAGCAAAAUCACAGUUUCUUGCAACGGUUUCUCAUGAAAUCAGGACUCCAAUGAAUGGUGUUUUAGGCAUGCUUCAGAUGCUCAUGGACACGAACCUUGACCUAACGCAACUGGAUUAUGCACAAACUGCUCUUAGUAGUGGGAAUGAACUGAUAUCAUUGAUUAAUGAGGUGCUGGAUCAGGCUAAGAUUGAAUCAGGAAGGCUUGAGCUGGAGGCUGUUCCUUUUGAUCUCCGUGCUGAACUUGAUAAUGUUUCAUCGCUCUUCUCGGGAAAAUCUCAUAAAAAAGGGAUUGAGUUGGCUGUUUAUGUUUCUGACCUAGUCCCAGAAGUUGUUAUCGGAGAUUCAGGACGGUUCAAGCAGAUAAUUACGAAUCUAGUUGGAAACUCAGUUAAGUUCACAAAUGACAAAGGGCACAUAUUUGUCACAGUACAUUUAGCUGAUGAAGUGAGGAACCCUCAUGAUGUGACGGAUGAAGU
This 941-nucleotide unclassified non-coding RNA is filed under the name Hevea brasiliensis (rubber tree). The record is from RNAcentral. Lineage: Eukaryota; Viridiplantae; Streptophyta; Magnoliopsida; Malpighiales; Euphorbiaceae.